This is a long non-coding RNA of Aphis gossypii (cotton aphid), 631 nucleotides long. RefSeq lists it as uncharacterized. The record is from RefSeq and is a predicted model, not a curated record. Lineage: Eukaryota; Metazoa; Arthropoda; Insecta; Hemiptera; Aphididae. The transcript has 7 exons.
UUUUUACUAAAUAUAAAAAAAUGUUUUAAAAGAUGACUAUCAAUUUAUUAUUAUCCUUGAAAACUCAUUAUAAUAUAAUUUAAUUAAUUGUUUUUUUACUUUUACUUAUAGACAAAAAAAUAGAUGUAAAACAUACAGAUACAGAGACUAAAAAACCAAAAGAACCAUAUUGUAACCGUGAUAUAUACAAUAUGUAUGAGAAGGAAAUUAAUAAAUUGGAUAUAAAGCAUUUAAAACGCUUGCAAUUAUGUAGAGCUAUUCAAGAAGAACGAUAUAAAACAUACGUAUUAAGAUUAUAUAAUCUAAAUUGUGUACCAUUACCCAUACCGUUGUGGGAAAUUGAAAAAAUAGAUAUGGUGUCAUAUAAGAUUUGAAGUUGUGAAUUAAUAAUUUCGGGUAUCAAUAAUAUUACAGGUUUAUCGGAGUUUAAAGAAAUUAGACUAGAUUUAUAAAAGUUUUAUCUUGUUAUUAAAAUUAUUUAACAUAUUGUUAAUUUAACAGUCAUAAUUAUGGAAUUUAAUAAAUCUAAUAAAAUACUAAAUAUUCUUAUAAUAUUCUCUAAUACUAUUAAAAAAUAUCUUAUAGUUAUCAUUUUACACUAUUAAUGUCAAAAUAAACGCUAAUAAAUUGA